AUUAACUAGAUUUAUUGCUUUAUUAGAAGUUAGAAGCUU
Molecule: transfer RNA, 39 nt
Filed under: Lyropaeus philippinensis
Lineage: Eukaryota; Metazoa; Arthropoda; Insecta; Coleoptera; Lycidae
Description: partial tRNA-Ser
Source: RNAcentral